UACGUAGGGGGCUAGCGUUGUCCGGAUUUAUUGGGCGUAAAGAGCGCGUAGGCGGCCAGAUAGGUCUGCUGUGAAAACUCGAGGCUCAACCUCGAGCUGUCGGCGGAAACCAUUUGGCUAGAGUCCGGAAGAGGAGAGUGGAAUUCCUGGUGUAGCGGUGAAAUGCGCAGAUAUCAGGAAGAACACCUAUGGCGAAGGCAGCUCUCUGGGACGGUACUGACGCUGAGACGCGAAAGCGUGGGGAGCGAACAGG
Molecule: ribosomal RNA, 253 nt
Filed under: uncultured bacterium
Lineage: Bacteria
Description: partial 16S ribosomal RNA
Rfam family: Bacterial small subunit ribosomal RNA
Source: RNAcentral